This 446-nucleotide ribosomal RNA is filed under the name uncultured bacterium. Its description in RNAcentral is "bacterial SSU rRNA". It matches the Rfam family "Bacterial small subunit ribosomal RNA", at positions 330 to 793 of the family's 1533-position model. The record is from RNAcentral.
ACCAGACUCCUACGGGAGGCAGCAGUGGGGAAUAUUGCACAAUGGGGGAAACCCUGAUGCAGCGACGCCGCGUGAGUGAAGAAGUAUUUCGGUAUGUAAAGCUCUCUCAGCAGGGAAGAAAAUGACGGUACCUGACUAAGAAGCCCCGGCUAACUACGUGCCAGCAGCUGCGGUAAUACGUAGGGGGCAAGCGUUAUCCGGAUUUACUGGGUGUAAAGGGAGCGUAGACGGUGAUGCAAGUCAGAAGUGAAAGCCCGGGGCUCAACUCCGGGACUGCUUUUGAAACUGUGUAACUGGAGUGCAGGAGAGGUAAGCGGAAUUCCUAGUGUAGCGGUGAAAUGCGUAGAUAUUAGGAGGAACACCAGUGGCGAAGGCGGCUUACUGGACUGUAACUGACGUUGAGGCUCGAAAGCGUGGGGAGCAAACAGGAUUAGAUACCCCAGUAC